UGCGUAGGCGGAAGAUUAAGUCAGUGAUGAAAUCUUGCAGCUCAACUGUAGAACUGUCAUUGAUACUGAUUUUCUUGAAUACAGUUGAGGUAGGCGGAAUAUGUAAUGUAGCGGUGAAAUGCUUAGAUAUUACAUAGAACACCAAUUGCGAAGGCAGCUUACUAAACUGUGAUUGACGCUGAGGCACGAAAGCGUGGGGAGCGAACAGGAUUAGAUACCCUGGUAGUCC
This 229-nucleotide ribosomal RNA is filed under the name uncultured bacterium. RNAcentral's name for it is "partial 16S ribosomal RNA". It matches the Rfam family "Bacterial small subunit ribosomal RNA", at positions 568 to 796 of the family's 1533-position model. The record is from RNAcentral.